UACGGGGGGGGCAAGCGUUGUUCGGAAUUACUGGGCGUAAAGAGCUCGUAGGCGGUUUGUCGCGUCUGCUGUGAAAACUGGAGGCUCAACCUCCAGCCUGCAGUGGGUACGGGCAGACUGGAGUACUGCAGGGGAGACUGGAAUUCCUGGUGUAGCGGUGGAAUGCGCAGAUAUCAGGAGGAACACCUAUAGCGGAGGCAGCUUGCUGGGACGAAACUGACGCUAAGGCUCGAAAGCGUGGGGAGCGAACAGG
Molecule: ribosomal RNA, 253 nt
Filed under: uncultured bacterium
Lineage: Bacteria
Description: partial 16S ribosomal RNA
Rfam family: Bacterial small subunit ribosomal RNA
Source: RNAcentral